Molecule: RNA transcript, 2860 nt
Organism: Argiope bruennichi
Lineage: Eukaryota; Metazoa; Arthropoda; Arachnida; Araneae; Araneidae
Gene name: zwei Ig domain protein zig-8-like
Exons: 7
Source: RefSeq, a predicted model, not a curated record
UGGCUGUGUGACUGCGUGUGAAUGAGCGAAGGAAGGGAAAAGAGAAAACCACGUUUACUCAUCACAACAUCAUCUCCCUUCUCAAGCGCACGACCGUAACUCGGGCUAAAUCGGGUUUUCUUUUCCUAUACGAACUUAACGGAGCAUUUUUGCGGUUAUUAUCAUCUGUUCUGACCCAAUUGUGCAAACUUGCGGCCGCCCGAGCGCUUUUCGUGCAGUCUCGAAAUUGUUUUUCCGAUGCCCAAACUCGAUUUCCGCCUUAAGAUUUUCAUCUUAGAAUAAUAAUAAUAACAGAAAUUGUGGUUGCCGAAAAUUGAAAGAAGCAAGUAUUGUGGACAUGUAACGAUCAUUUGUUUUUUUAUACCACCAAAUAUACUUUCAAAUCUUACAACAAACCAGUGGAAAGUAAAGAGACUGUUUCAACAGCAGAAAUGGAAUUUUCAGUGGAUUAUUCGCUUAAUUCUUGGAACUGGAAUCGAAGAUAUUAUCUGAUAUCACGAACUUUUGUGUGCUUUUGGUUACUGAUGACUUAUACUUCAGGUAUUACAGCCAAACAGAUAAAUGCUGCAAAGCUUCCCAUGAAACCACCAGUUUACCCCAAGCCCUCCUAUUCAUUCUCAAAGAGCUCUGGACUGUCCAUCGUUCAACCGGCGGCUUUGCUAAAUGGAAAGCAGUUUGUUGUUGAACCGGUAACUACUCGCAAUGUCACUACUCAAGUUGGGCAAACAACCUACCUCCACUGCAUUGUAGAUAAGCUUGAAGAUAAAACGGUGGGUGGUCUGCAGCGGCAGGUAUCUUGGUUGCGGCUCAAGGAUUUUCAUUUACUCACGGUAGGUUUAUACACCUAUACUAGUGACACAAGAUUUCAGACAAUAUAUAAUGAAUACGCCACGGAUUGGACUUUACAAAUCAGAUACCCUCAACUUUCUGACGAAGGAUUGUAUGAAUGUCAAGUUAGCUCUGACCCACCGAUCAGCCAUUAUGUAUAUUUAAAAGUCAUAGUUCCGAAAACGAAGAUAUUGGGCAGCGGCAAUUUCUACGUGAGUGUCGGCAGUGAGAUCAACUUGACUUGCGUGAUCACAGAUUGUCCAGAGCCUCCAGCCUACGUUUUCUGGUACCACGACUCACGGAUGAUAAAUUUCGACCCUGGCAGGAUAAACAUUGCUCUUCAGAAGGCCGGAAACAACACUGCUAUCAGUCGCCUGCGAAUUAGGAACGCAGAAGCUUCCGACUCGGGAAACUAUUCCUGCAGUCCAUCGAAUGCCGAUGUGGCCAGCAUCUUUGUCCAUGUCCUCAAAGGGGAGAAACACGCUGCUGUGCAGAACGACGCAGCCUCCACCUCAAGUUCCUCUCGCUUUGUAUCUUCCUUCAACACAAUGGUAGCGUUCCAAUUUGUCGUCCUUUUCACAGUCACGGCUUCAAGGUCGAGGUGACACUCAUUUCAAAUAAAGAACUUCAUUGCGUCUUAUGAAAGAGAUCAGACAUCCUAUUGUACAUUUUGCGUUGAUUUAUGUCUUUUGUGCACCUUAAGUUUUUGUAUUUCAUUGUUUUAUCUGUAAAAAGAAAUCUCAGGAAUGAUUUUUGUGAUCGACGCAAUGUGUGUACGUUGUCCUUCUAAUUUUUAACCUCACAGCAGAGAUAGAACCAUUGCGGUAUUGAAUCGUUGUUUUCCAUAUUGUUAAUAUAAUUUCAUACUGUCAUUUUGCAUCCAAUUUUGUAGGCGUAGUUUUAUUCCUUGUUCAUAUUUCAUUUCAUAUUUGUCAUAAAUUAUUUAUUUCUUACAUAGUUUCCUCACGAAGCAAUACAAAGUUUUUUUAGUGCCACUUUUAGUUUUUAUUAGCAAUAUUUUUUUUGUUUGUUUGUUGAAAGACAUGUACAUACAUGGUAUAGCUGGUUUAAUGUUACUUGGCAUAAACUCUUUUUUGAUUAUUUAGUCAUAUGUUUUUAUACAAGAAUGUACAAAUAUAAUUUAUUAUACUAUGCAAUCUAUAGUACCAACUUGCAAAGCUGUGAGCUUUUUACAAUGUACAAUAGUAAUUCUGAAACUAUACGAAUUAUAAAUGCACAUAUUGAAUAAGUAUUUGACAUUUUUGAUAAUUUCAGUUUAGUAAUGCCUUCUUUAUAUUUUGUAUGAUAUAAUGGAAAAGAAUUACAACUAUAUAUUGUGUCAUUCCAUUUAACCUAAAUCAUUUGUUUUUGCAGUUAAUAAUCCUACAAAUAUAAUAACAAACUGUAUUUUCCAAAUAUCUAAUUAAUAUUAAUUUCUGACCAGUAUCUUUAAGAGAAUAAAGAAUUCAAAUGUCCAGAGUCAAAUAUAGUGAAAUAGUCAAAUGCUCAGAAAAAUUCUAAAUUUAAUGCUGUGAAAGCUAUAUUUUGAAAGCAAAGCAGUUUUUAUCAAUAUUUGAUACUAUACAUAUAAAUAAAAUUAUGUUUUAAAAAUAUUUUAUCGAGAAUCAUUGAUUUAAAUCACUAUAUUCUUUUAUGGAUUAGCUAUCAAAAAUAUAUUUCUCUCAAAAUUGUAUCUCAAUUCUCAAUUUUAACUAUAUUUUAGGAUAUUAGUACUAUAUGGAUGUGCUGUUGACAAUCAAAGUAUACUUGAAAAUGUGUUUUACAUUUUUUAUACGUCAGUCACUGCUUUAUAUUUUAUUAUCUAGCAAAAUAUACAUGCAAAUGUUUUCAUAAUAGAACAAGCAAUGUACAAACUUCACAAAUAUUGUAAAAUGUCAAACAUUUUGCAUGGAUUAUUUUAAGUUCCUUCUCAGAUGUUUGUUUUGAUAAUUUUGUCAUUUUUAGUGUCAUUUAUAUCGAUGUCACCGUUUUCCAUGUUGCUCUCUGCUUCCUGUCUUUAUGUAUUUUCUGC